Molecule: long non-coding RNA, 725 nt
Organism: Gasterosteus aculeatus aculeatus (three-spined stickleback)
Lineage: Eukaryota; Metazoa; Chordata; Actinopteri; Perciformes; Gasterosteidae
Source: Ensembl
GGCUGUUUUUAGGCGAUCGCCACCGAGCUAGAAGCUGAAAUGAGGUCACGCUAAAUCAACCAAUAAGCACGUUUGAUUUCAUCUGCCCCGUAUCAAUAAAUAAUACACGAUACGAGAUAUGAAACAUGGCCAGUAGUCAAAGUGCAGGCAGCCAGUUGAAUGGUGAAUUUACGCUACUGUGUUAAACUCAUUUAUUUGUGAAUGUGACUUUGAAAGAGUCAGUGCCUCCCAGCCGGACCUCACCGCACGUCACGGCAGCCAUUGUGUUGUGAAUGAAGAAACGUAGACGGAUAAUUGCGUCGAGUUACGGAAGCAGUAAAGUUCGCUGAGCUGGGAACUGCGGUCGUGACCGGCCAGCCGGCAGCGGCACGUGCCCAACGUCAGCGGACAUUUCCUAGUUGGUGGAAGACGGAACUGAACGAUCUCGAAGGAAGAACCACCUGAAAGGCAACAUUUCGUAGCACCUAAAGCAGCGAUGCUAGAUGAAUCCCAUCCCAAGUUGUGGUUGCACGUCACAACACAGUUUGCCCUGGACAGUGCCCUAAGUUUACCACGGAGCAGCGGCAGUGAUGCACUGGCAGCCGGAAUCACUCUUUCAGCUCUGACAAGGAUUUGCCGUUUGGGUCCCUACAUGAUGAAUGGAGCGUAGAAAUGGCCUCAUUAUUGCGCGGAUGAGCAUGGAGAUGGACAUGGAGGGGCUGGGGGAAGUCCCGGUGGUGUUACAG